This is a non-coding RNA of Camellia sinensis, 1067 nucleotides long. The record is from RefSeq and is a predicted model, not a curated record. Lineage: Eukaryota; Viridiplantae; Streptophyta; Magnoliopsida; Ericales; Theaceae.
GCGACCAAAAAUUUGGUCGCCAAAAACUUGUUUUCAGCAACCAAAAAAAAUUAGUCGCCAAAUUAGUAUUUUUAGCGACUAAUAUGUUAGUCGCCGUUGAUUGAGAUUUGGCGACUAAAAUAAUUAGUCGUUAUAUAUUUGAGAUUUUGCGACAAAAAAGGAAUUUAGUCGUUAAAGGCGAAAUUUUUUUAGAGGGAAAUCUCGCGCCCACCCCUGUUCUCUGUUUACAAUUACACACAACAUUUUGUUCAAAUUCUCCUCCAAAGCCAAACCUCACCCCAUCGUAACAGAUCGCCACAUCUACAUCGUCGAUGAUCCUCCUCCUUCUCCUCUGCCUGUGCCUCCGCCGAAUCCGAGAAGAUCGUCGAGAUCUGAAUCAGAUUUGAGUCCUAGGCCGAGAUCUGAUCGUCGUGAGCGAUCCACAGCGACACAAUGGCUUCCAAAUCCUACAAGAAGAUCAUCGAUAUCUACGACGACCUCAUCCUUCAGAGCUUCAAGCAGUUCGAUUUCGUCUAAAGGGAUCCAUACUCGAAGGGAAUUGAUCCUGAUGCAUUGAAAACUUCUCUAGCUGCUGCAUGUGGUAUCUAAAUUCUAAAAUAAUUCCUAAAAGCAUAACAAUUGCCAUUCUAUCUUUUAGUGUUUCUUUGAAAAUGUUAUAUGCGUUUUGAUGAGCUUUACACUUAGUUAUUUGAUUUGGUUGGUUGGUCUUAGUCGCGGAAGGCCCAAGUCAUAUUCCUGGAUUUAAUAGUUGUCUUGUUGGCUGAGAAUGCAUGUGAUCACUUGAUGUUGCACAGGUCUUUCAAAAUUGUUAUUUAUUUUUUGCCUUUUUAUAUAAUCUCAAGUGGUAUGGUUAAAAAAAUAAUGGUUGCCAAUGAAGAAGUGGCAGUUGCUUCUUAUCCUUGCUCCUAUAUGCCCCUGUAUUUAUUUCUUAAUUCUUGUCAAUACAUCUGUGCACCUAGUAGACUAGUGUGAUAGAUAGAUUGGGUGCUCUAGCAUUCUCCAAUAGCAUGCUUUCUGGACAAUUUUCUUUUGGCUGCUAGAUAUGGGCGCGAUAGCACUCUCUAGAA